GGGGGCGACCUGGUUUCGACGUGGGUUGCAAAACCGGAAGUGCAUGCCGAGAAUGAGAUCUCUCGUAAAUAAGACUCAAUUAAAUAUAAAUGCAAACGAAGAUAACUUUGCUGGUGGUGAAGCUAUCGCUGCAUAAGCGACAGUAAAACCCCAAAUGCGCGCUGCCAAAAACCAGCGCCCCGUUCGACCGAGCCCGCUUAUCGGUAUCGAAUCAACGGUCAUAAGAGAUAAGCUAGCGAUUUAAACCGUCCCGCUUUAAGUCGUGAAACCAAGGGACUCACCAUUCAAAAUCCUGCCCGUCGGAGAGUGAAUGGUUAACUAAAAAGACAAGGCUAAGCAUGUAGAACUGAAGGCAGAGGAUUUACGGACGCGGGUUCAAUUCCCGCCGCCUCCACCA
This 397-nucleotide transfer-messenger RNA is filed under the name Legionellaceae. Its description in RNAcentral is "Legionella_A adelaidensis Standard tmRNA". It matches the Rfam family "transfer-messenger RNA". Rfam says of the family: Bacterial tmRNA, also known as 10Sa RNA or SsrA, is named for its dual tRNA and mRNA-like properties. Its role is to liberate the mRNA from a stalled ribosome. The record is from RNAcentral. Lineage: Bacteria; Pseudomonadati; Pseudomonadota; Gammaproteobacteria; Legionellales. RNAcentral also lists the same sequence under 1 other name.